This 491-nucleotide ribosomal RNA is filed under the name uncultured bacterium. RNAcentral describes it as "partial 16S ribosomal RNA". It matches the Rfam family "Bacterial small subunit ribosomal RNA", at positions 28 to 507 of the family's 1533-position model. The record is from RNAcentral.
GAUGAACGCUCGCUACAGGCUUAACACAUGCAAGUCGAGGGGAAACGACAUUGAAGCUUGCUUCGAUGGUCGUCGACCGGCGCACGGGUGAGUAACGCGUAUCCAACCUGCCUCUGACCAAGGGAUAACCCGUCGAAAGUCGGCCUAAUACCUUAUGCAGUCGUCGGAAGUCAUCUGAUGACGACGAAAGAUUUCAUCGGUGAGAGAUGGGGAUGCGUCUGAUUAGCUUGUUGGCGGGGUAACGGCCCACCAAGGCAACGAUCAGUAGGGGUUCUGAGAGGAAGGUCCCCCACAUUGGAACUGCGACACGGUCCAAACUCCUACGGGAGGCAGCAGUGAGGAAUAUUGGUCAAUGGGCGAGAGCCUGAACCAGCCAAGUAGCGUGCAGGAUGACGGCCCUAUGGGUUGUAAACUGCUUUUAUGCGGGGAUAAAGUGAGGGACGUGUCCUUCAUUGCAGGUACCGCAUGAAUAAGGACCGGCUAAUUCCGUG